This 253-nucleotide ribosomal RNA is filed under the name uncultured bacterium. RNAcentral describes it as "partial 16S ribosomal RNA". It matches the Rfam family "Bacterial small subunit ribosomal RNA", at positions 524 to 776 of the family's 1533-position model. The record is from RNAcentral.
UACGUAGGGUCCGAGCGUUGUCCGGAAUUAUUGGGCGUAAAGGGCUCGUAGGCGGUUCGUCACGUCGGGAGUGAAAACUCGGGGCUUAACCCCGAGCCUGCUUCCGAUACGGGCAGACUAGAGGUAGGCAGGGGAGAGCGGAACUCCUGGUGUAGCGGUGGAAUGCGCAGAUAUCAGGAAGAACACCGGUGGCGAAGGCGGGUCUCUGGGCAGUAACUGACGCUGAGGAGCGAAAGCGUGGGGAGCGAACAGG